This 23-nucleotide non-coding RNA is filed under the name Arabidopsis thaliana (thale cress). Lineage: Eukaryota; Viridiplantae; Streptophyta; Magnoliopsida; Brassicales; Brassicaceae. The record is from RNAcentral.
ACCAACAGCUUUGGGAGAGCCGA